AUUGAACGCUGGCGGAAUGCUUUACACAUGCAAGUCGAGCGGCAGCGCGGGGGCAACCCUGGCGGCGAGCGGCGAACGGGUGAGUAACACAUCGGAACGUACCCAGUUGUGGGGGAUAGCCCGGCGAAAGCCGGAUUAAUACCGCAUACGACCUGAGGGUGAAAGGGGGGGAUCGCAAGACCUCUCGCAGUUGGAGCGGCCGAUGGCGGAUUAGCUAGUUGGUGGGGUAAAAGCCUACCAAGGCGACGAUCCGUAGCGGGUCUGAGAGGAUGAUCCGCCACACUGGGACUGAGACACGGCCCAGACUCCUACGGGAGGCAGCAGUGGGGAAUUUUGGACAAUGGGCGGAAGCCUGAUCCAGCCAUGCCGCGUGAGUGAAGAAGGCCUCGGUGUAAGCUCUUCGUGGGAGAAU
This 412-nucleotide ribosomal RNA is filed under the name uncultured bacterium. RNAcentral's name for it is "bacterial SSU rRNA". It matches the Rfam family "Bacterial small subunit ribosomal RNA", at positions 29 to 446 of the family's 1533-position model. The record is from RNAcentral.